GCCGAGGUGGCGGAACUGGCAGACGCACAGGACUCAAAAUCCUGCGAUCGCAAGGUCAUGAGGGUUCGAUUCCCUCCCUCGGCACCA
RNAcentral lists this transfer RNA (87 nucleotides) under Patescibacteria group bacterium. RNAcentral's name for it is "tRNA-Leu". It matches the Rfam family "tRNA". From Rfam's summary of the family: Transfer RNA (tRNA) molecules are approximately 80 nucleotides in length. Their secondary structure includes four short double-helical elements and three loops (D, anti-codon, and T loops). Further hydrogen bonds mediate the characteristic L-shaped molecular structure. tRNAs have two regions of fundamental functional importance: the anti-codon, which is responsible for specific mRNA codon recognition, and the 3' end, to which the tRNAs corresponding amino acid is attached (by aminoacyl-tRNA synthetases). tRNAs cope with the degeneracy of the genetic code in two manners: having more than one tRNA (with a specific anti-codon) for a particular amino acid; and 'wobble' base-pairing, i.e. permitting non-standard base-pairing at the 3rd anti-codon position. The record is from RNAcentral.